This 369-nucleotide unclassified non-coding RNA is filed under the name uncultured bacterium. RNAcentral's name for it is "contains 16S-23S intergenic spacer region". The record is from RNAcentral.
UCCGGUUUGAAACCGGCGGUCCCGGUAGACAUGGUAACUACCAGCGAGGGUUGCGCUCGUUGCGGGACUUAACCCAACACCUCACGGCACGAGCUGACGACAGCCAUGCAGCACCUGUGCCGCCUCUCGCCUCGACGAGUCGUCCCCCUUUCAGGGUUCUACUUGCGGCAUGUCAAGCCUAGGUGAGGUGCUUCGCGUUGCAUCGAAUUAAACCACACGCUCCACCGCUUGUGCAGGCCCCCGUCAAUUUCUUUGAGUUUUAGCCUUGCGGCCGUACUCCCCAGGCGGGGCGCUUAAUGCGUUUGCUGCGGCACAGAACUCGUGGAAAGAGCCCCACACCUAGCGCCCAACGUUUACGGCAUGGACUAC